CUUCCCAUUGAUUUGCUGCCACGAUCUCGCGGUGACGUGAGCAGUUAUACGCAUGGGAUACAGCAACCCCAGGCCACUGCGAACUGGGCCGGGCGGCCUCCCUCCUGCCUCUCUCUCCCACGCGUGGUCUGGACAUCU
Molecule: small nucleolar RNA, 138 nt
Organism: Erinaceus europaeus (western European hedgehog)
Lineage: Eukaryota; Metazoa; Chordata; Mammalia; Eulipotyphla; Erinaceidae
Product: small nucleolar RNA, H/ACA box 20
Source: Ensembl